GAUGAACGCUGGCGGCGUGCCUAAUACAUGCAAGUCGAGCGAACAGACGAGGAGCUUGCUCCUCUGACGUUAGCGGCGGACGGGUGAGUAACACGUGGAUAACCUACCUAUAAGACUGGGAUAACUUCGGGAAACCGGAGCUAAUACCGGAUAAUAUAUUGAACCGCAUGGUUCAAUAGUGAAAGACGGUUUUGCUGUCACUUAUAGAUGGAUCCGCGCCGCAUUAGCUAGUUGGUAAGGUAACGGCUUACCAAGGCAACGAUGCGUAGCCGACCUGAGAGGGUGGUCGGCCACACUGGAACCUAGGCACGGGCCAGACUCCUACGGGAGGGAGCAGGAGGGAAUCUUCCGGAAUGGGCGGAAGGCUGACGGAGCAACGGCGCGUGGGUGAUGGAGGGCUUCGGAUCGGAAAACCCUUUUUAUAGGGAAAGAAAAAUGUGGAAAGAACUAAGCACGUCUUGACGGGACCUAAACAGGAAAGCAAGGCUUACUACGGG
RNAcentral lists this ribosomal RNA (497 nucleotides) under uncultured bacterium. RNAcentral's name for it is "partial 16S ribosomal RNA". It matches the Rfam family "Bacterial small subunit ribosomal RNA", at positions 28 to 507 of the family's 1533-position model. The record is from RNAcentral.